Vicugna pacos (alpaca) is the source of this 404-nucleotide non-coding RNA. Lineage: Eukaryota; Metazoa; Chordata; Mammalia; Artiodactyla; Camelidae. The record is from RefSeq and is a predicted model, not a curated record.
GCUGUGCUUUCACCGAGUCAAUACAGGGAAGCGGCAGCACGCUUUGCCCCCUCCUACCAGGAUGCCUGCCCACGUGCCUGCCUGCCCACCCGGGACACUGCGUGACAGUGGACACGCCCUGCUCCUCCUGUUCAUCGGUCGCUCAUUCUGGGGAAAGUCGCCUGCCGUUUGAAACUGUGGAAACCUGCCAAGAGGCCCAUGAGGUGGCCUGAGGGGGCUGGUGGAGACAAUAAAGAAUGGAUUUAAGUCCUCCACCGGGGGCACCCUUGGGAGACCACAGGGAGACAGGGCGGUCCUGCGGUGCGCACACCACGUUGGGGUAACAAAACCUUGCAGCUUGGCACCCGCCGCUUCCCGAAAGACAGGCGAGUUCUGUGCGGUGCCGGGCAACGGUGUACUUCGCA